UACGUAGGGCGCAAGCGUUAUCCGGAAUUAUUGGGCGUAAAGGGUGCGUAGGCGGUUUGAUAAGUCACAUGUGAAAUCUUCGGGCUCAACCCGAAGUCUGCAUGCGAAACUGUCGGGCUUGAGUAUGGGAGAGGUGAGUGGAAUUUCCGGUGUAGCGGUGAAAUGCGUAGAUAUCGGAAGGAACACCUGUGGCGAAAGCGGCUCACUGGACCAUAACUGACGCUGAUGCACGAAAGCUAGGGGAGCAAACAGG
Molecule: ribosomal RNA, 253 nt
Filed under: uncultured bacterium
Lineage: Bacteria
Description: partial 16S ribosomal RNA
Rfam family: Bacterial small subunit ribosomal RNA
Source: RNAcentral